AGUGCAACAGAAAACAAACCGCCGCAGCAAUGCGGUAAGGAUGAAACGGCGAGGUAAGAGCUCACCAGCGCAUGGGUGACCAUGCGGCUUUGUAAACCCUACCGGAAGCAACGCCUAUAUGGGACGGAUAGCGCUGCUCGCGUGUCCCGAAGGCGGCACGAACCUGUCAGCAAUGGCAGGUCUAGACAGAUCGUCGUUUAAUACAGAACCCGGCUUACGGUCUAUCUCGUUUU
This 233-nucleotide RNase P RNA is filed under the name Faecalibacterium sp. RNAcentral's name for it is "partial RNase P RNA component class A". It matches the Rfam family "Bacterial RNase P class A", at positions 108 to 367 of the family's 367-position model. From Rfam's summary of the family: Ribonuclease P (RNase P) is a ubiquitous endoribonuclease, found in archaea, bacteria and eukarya as well as chloroplasts and mitochondria. Its best characterised activity is the generation of mature 5'-ends of tRNAs by cleaving the 5'-leader elements of precursor-tRNAs. Lineage: Bacteria; Bacillati; Bacillota; Clostridia; Eubacteriales; Oscillospiraceae. The record is from RNAcentral.